AGAGUUUGAUCAUGGCUCAGGACGAACGCUGGCGGCGUGCUUAACACAUGCAAGUCACGGGGGCCCGCAAGGGCAACCGGCGAACGGGUGCGUAACACGUGAGCAACCUGCCGAUCUGCGGGGGAUAGCCGGCCCAACGGCCGGGUAAUACCGCAUACGCUCUCUUGGGGACAUCCCCGAGUGAGGAAACCUCCGGGGCAGAUCGAGGGGCUCGCGACCUAUCAGCUAGUUGGCGGGGUAACGGCCCACCAAGGCUACGACGGGUAGCUGGUCUGAGAGGAUGGCCAGCCACAUUGGGACUGCGACACGGCCCAGACUCCUAUGGGAGGCAGCAGUGGGGAAUAUUGCGCAAUGGGCGAAAGCCUGACGCAGCGACGCCGCGUGUGGGAUGAAGCUCUUCGGGGUGUAAACCACUGUUGCCCGGGAAGAACCUCCUGAUUCAUCAGGAUUGACGGUACCGGGUGAGGAAGCACCGGCUAACUCUGUGCCAGCAGCCGCGGUAAUACAGAGGGUGCGAGCGUUGUCCGGAAUCACUGGGCGUAAAGGGCGCGUAGGUGGCGGGAUAAGCGUGCGGUGAAAGUCCGGGGCUCAACUCCGGAUCGGCCGUGCGGACUGUCUUGCUCGAGCGUAGUAGAGGCGGGUGGAAUUCCGGGUGUAGCGGUGGAAUGCAGAGAUCCGGAAGAACACCGGUGGCGAAGGCGGCCCGCUGGGCUACUGCUGACACUGAUGCGCGACAGCGUGGGGAGCAAACAGGAUUAGAUACCCUAGUAGUCC
RNAcentral lists this ribosomal RNA (774 nucleotides) under uncultured bacterium. Its description in RNAcentral is "bacterial SSU rRNA". It matches the Rfam family "Bacterial small subunit ribosomal RNA", at positions 8 to 796 of the family's 1533-position model. The record is from RNAcentral.